This 72-nucleotide transfer RNA is filed under the name Sphaeroforma arctica JP610. RNAcentral's name for it is "tRNA-Pro". The record is from RNAcentral. Lineage: Eukaryota; Ichthyosporea; Ichthyophonida.
GCGGAAUUGGUCUAGUGGUAUGAUUGACCCUUAGGGUGGGUCAGGCCCCACGUUCGAUUCGUGGAUUCCGCC